Molecule: ribosomal RNA, 302 nt
Filed under: uncultured bacterium
Lineage: Bacteria
Description: partial 16S ribosomal RNA
Rfam family: Bacterial small subunit ribosomal RNA
Source: RNAcentral
GCAGUAGCCACGGGAAUACGUAGGUGGCAAGCGUUAUCCGGAAUUAUUGGGCGUAAAGCGCGCGUAGGCGGUUUUUUAAGUCUGAUAUGAAAGCCCACGGCUCAACCGUGGAGGGUCAUUGGAAACUGGAAAACUUGAGUGCAGAAGAGGAAAGUGGAAUUCCAUGUGUAGCGGUGAAAUGCGCAGAGAUAUGGAGGAACACCAGUGGCGAAGGCGACUUUCUGGUCUGUAACCGACGCUGAGGAGCGAAAGCGUGGGGAGCGAACAGGAUUAGAUACCCCUGUAGUCCCUGUCUCUUAUAC